AAUAUUGCACAAUGGAGGGAACUCUGAUGCAGCGACGCCGCGUGAGCGAUGAAGGCCUUCGGGUCGUAAAGCUCUGUCCUAUGGGACGAUAAUGACGGUACCAUAGGAGGAAGCCCCGGCUAACUACGUGCCAGCAGCCGCGGUAAUACGUAGGGGGCGAGCGUUGUCCGGAAUUACUGGGCGUAAAGGGUACGCAGGCGGUCAAAUAAGUCAGAUGUGAAAGGCGUAGGCUUAACCUAUGUAAGCAUUUGAAACUGUUUGGCUUGAGUUAAGGAGAGGAAAGUGGAAUUCCUGGUGUAGCGGUGAAAUGCGUAGAUAUCAGGAGGAAUAUCAGUGGCGAAGGCGACUUUCUGGACUUAAACUGACGCUGAGGUACGAAAGCGUGGGGAGCAAACA
Molecule: ribosomal RNA, 396 nt
Filed under: uncultured bacterium
Lineage: Bacteria
Description: partial 16S ribosomal RNA
Rfam family: Bacterial small subunit ribosomal RNA
Source: RNAcentral